Molecule: ribosomal RNA, 447 nt
Filed under: uncultured bacterium
Lineage: Bacteria
Description: bacterial SSU rRNA
Rfam family: Bacterial small subunit ribosomal RNA
Source: RNAcentral
UCGGGAAUUUUGGGCAAUGGGGGAAACCCUGACCCAGCAACGCCGCGUGAAGGAUGAAGUAUUUCGGUAUGUAAACUUCGAAAGAAUAGGAAGAAUAAAUGACAGUACUAUUUAUAAGGUCCGGCUAACUACGUGCCAGCAGCCGCGGUAAUACGUAGGGACCAAGCGUUGUUCGGAUUUACUGGGCGUAAAGGGCGCGUAGGCGGCAUGACAAGUCACUUGUGAAAUCUCUGGGCUUAACCCAGAACGGCCAAGUGAUACUGUCGCGCUAGAGUGCAGAAGGGGCAAUCGGAAUUCUUGGUGUAGCGGUGAAAUGCGUAGAUAUCAAGAGGAACACCUGAGGUGAAGACGGGUUGCUGGGCUGACACUGACGCUGAGGCGCGAAAGCCAGGGGAGCAAACGGGAUUAGAUACCCACGUAGUCCCUGAGCGGGCUGGCAAGGCGCAU